AGAAGCAGCCAAAGAAGGAGGAAAGAAACCAGCAGAGAGUUGGCAUGAAAAAUAAAUGCAAGAGUUGCCAGUUAUGUGGGCUAUGAUUCAAGCCAUGGUUACGGCUCUGCUGCUGGAAGAAGGAUUCACCUGGUUUUGUGGUCUCGCUCUUCAGAAAUUGUAAUCAUUAUCCAUCCUAAGGACGGAGGAAUCAACGUUUCGGUAGAGAAGAAUUAGGUGCAACCUAGACAAGUGAGACAUUUCUAUGGUCUGGGUCUGAGAAAACAUGACAGGAAAGAAAGAGAAGGGCUGCAAGGCCACGGGCUCAAAGCAGAGGCUACCGAAGGACAAAUGUGUUACAAAGUGUUAUGAAAUGAAUUGACUUACUAGGAAGGCACAACAUCCAGCAUUACAAAAGGACUGCUCUGCCCUAGCCAUGUCCAGCUGAAUAACUGGCCACUACAUGACCCUCCACACCUCCAGGGUGGAGGCAGAGUUUGUAAGCUUGUGGCCUGCAGACCUAAAGUGGCCCAAAGAUGUAUUCUUUCUGAGCCCUCUCCCAAGUGAUUUGAAAAAUUAAGCCACACUAAAACAACAGGAGAUUUCACGCACACACAAAUUGAGAUUUCUAGCAUCUCUUAAAAGAUAACAAAGAAAUAAGCACUUAAAACUGAACUCAUAUUCCACAUGGCAGCACCAACUGGCCAAGAUUCAGUGGCUGCUGCUCCUUUACAGAGCAACGGCGAUGCUUCUGUGCCAGUGUGUGGCGGUGAAAGCAGGACCCUGGGGCCGGCCUGUCUAGCUGCCCUCCAACUCCACCCCUUACUAGCUGUGGGAACUUGUUAACUGUUCUGUUCCUCCGUUUACUCAUCAGUAAAAUGUGAUUCAUUGUGCUUAUCUAUUAGGUUGUUGUAAAGAUUAAAUAAAUUAACAAGUAUACUGCGCUUCAACUAGUGCCAUGUAAAUAUAGUAGUAUUACAAAAGCCUUUGAUAUUAUUACUAAUAUAGUAUUAAUAUCUUGUCUUCUAAAUUAUUUAGUUAUGUUAAUCCUCCUAAGAAUCCUGUAAGGUAGGUGAAGAAACUGAGGCAUGGAGAGGUUGGAAAACCUGCCUAAACUUGUCACAUGGUCACAUUGCACAUUACUAGUAAGCAGUGAAACCUCCUCAGGGGUCUGUGAUCUAAACCACCAUGCUAUAGAAUGACAUUCCUUUAGGUGGGACCCACACUCUCCAGUUUUCCUUAGUACUCACCAUUUCCACAGCAUAUGCAUAUAAAUGUGCACAUUCCUUUUCUAUCUUCCCAUCCACUGCCCUGUCCUCCUUUGGGUUAUCUCCCUGGCCCCUGCAUGCAUUUGAGUUUGGAACCCCUAGUCUAGAAAAGUGGAUAUGCUGAAUAGCUGACUGUGUCCUCCAGGUAGAUUACCUCUCCCAAUAAGGCUUUUAUGAAGAGCCAAAGAGAAGACAAAUUGUGCCCAGUGAGGGUCUAUUUUAGUGUGGGUAGUCUGUGAUAGCAGACAAGCAGCAU
This 1503-nucleotide long non-coding RNA is filed under the name Homo sapiens (human). RNAcentral's name for it is "HSALNT0013410". The record is from RNAcentral. Lineage: Eukaryota; Metazoa; Chordata; Mammalia; Primates; Hominidae.